CAGGCUUAACACAUGCAAGUCGAGGGGCAUCAGGAAGAAAGCUUGCUUUCUUUGCUGGCGACCGGCGCACGGGUGAGUAACACGUAUCCAACCUGCCCUUUACUCGGGGAUAGCCUUUCGAAAGAAAGAUUAAUACCCGAUAGCAUAAUGAUUCCGCAUGGUUUCAUUAUUAAAGGAUUCCGGUAAAGGAUGGGGAUGCGUUCCAUUAGGUUGUUGGUGAGGUAACGGCCCACCAAGCCUUCGAUGGAUAGGGGUUCUGAGAGGAAGGUCCCCCACAUUGGAACUGAGACACGGUCCAAACUCCUACGGGAGGCAGCAGUGAGGAAUAUUGGUCAAUGGGCGCUAGCCUGAACCAGCCAAGUAGCGUGAAGGAUGAAGGCUCUAUGGGUCGUAAACUUCUUUUAUAUAAGAAUAAAGUGCAGUAUGUAUACUGUUUUGUAUGUAUUAUAUGAAUAAGGAUCGGCUAACUCCGUGCCAGCAGCCGCGGUAAUACGGAGGAUCCGAGCGUUAUCCGGAUUUAUUGGGUUUAAAGGGAGCGUAGGUGGACUGGUAAGUCAGUUGUGAAAGUUUGCGGCUCAACCGUAAAAUUGCAGUUGAUACUGUCAGUCUUGAGUACAGUAGAGGUGGGCGGAAUUCGUGGUGUAGCGGUGAAAUGCUUAGAUAUCACGAAGAACUCCGAUUGCGAAGGCAGCUCACUGGACUGCAACUGACACUGAUGCUCGAAAGUGUGGGUAUCAAACAGGAUUAGAUACCCUGGUAGUCCACACAGUAAACGAUGAAUACUCGCUGUUUGCGAUAUACAGUAAGCGGCCAAGCGAAAGCAUUAAGUAUUCCACCUGGGGAGUACGCCGGCAACGGUGAAACUCAAAGGAAUUGACGGGGGCCCGCACAAGCGGAGGAACAUGUGGUUUAAUUCGAUGAUACGCGAGGAACCUUACCCGGGCUUAAAUUGCAGUGGAAUGAUGUGGAAACAUGUCAGUGAGCAAUCACCGCUGUGAAGGUGCUGCAUGGUUGUCGUCAGCUCGUGCCGUGAGGUGUCGGCUUAAGUGCCAUAACGAGCGCAACCCUUAUCUUUAGUUACUAACAGGUUAUGCUGAGGACUCUAGAGAGACUGCCGUCGUAAGAUGUGAGGAAGGUGGGGAUGACGUCAAAUCAGCACGGCCCUUACGUCCGGGGCUACACACGUGUUACAAUGGGGGGUACAGAAGGCAGCUAGCGGGUGACCGUAUGCUAAUCCCAAAAUCCUCUCUCAGUUCGGAUCGAAGUCUGCAACCCGACUUCGUGAAGCUGGAUUCGCUAGUAAUCGCGCAUCAGCCACGGCGCGGUGAAUACGUUCCCGGGCCUUGUACACACCGCCCGUCAAGCCAUGGGAGCCGGGGGUACCUGAAGUACGUAACCGCAAGGAUCGUCCUAGGGUAAAACUGGUGACUGGGGCUAAGUCAUAACAA
RNAcentral lists this ribosomal RNA (1448 nucleotides) under uncultured organism. RNAcentral's name for it is "16S ribosomal RNA". It matches the Rfam family "Bacterial small subunit ribosomal RNA". The record is from RNAcentral.